GGUCAUAGUGAUCCGGUGGUUCUGAAUGGAAGGGCCAUCGCUCAACGGAUAAAAGGUACUCCGGGGAUAACAGGCUGAUACCGCCCAAGAGUUCAUAUCGACGGCGGUGUUUGGCACCUCGAUGUCGGCUCAUCACAUCCUGGGGCUGAAGUAGGUCCCAAGGGUAUGGCUGUUCGCCAUUUAAAGUGGUACGCGAGCUGGGUUUAGAACGUCGUGAGACAGUUCGGUCCCUAUCUGCCGUGGGCGCUGGAGAACUGAGGGGGGCUGCUCCUAGUACGAGAGGACCGGAGUGGACGCAUCACUGGUGUUCGGGUUGUCAUGCCAAUGGCACUGCCCGGUAGCUAAAUGCGGAAGAGAUAAGUGCUGAAAGCAUCUAAGCACGAAACUUGCCCCGAGAUGAGUUCUCCCUGACCCUUUAAGGGUCCUGAAGGAACGUUGAAGACGACGACGUUGAUAGGCCGGGUGUGUAAGCGCAGCGAUGCGUUGAGCUAACCGGUACUAAUGAACCGUGAGGCUUAACCUUACAACGCCGAAGGUGUUU
This 541-nucleotide ribosomal RNA is filed under the name Escherichia coli. RNAcentral's name for it is "partial 23S ribosomal RNA". It matches the Rfam family "Bacterial large subunit ribosomal RNA", at positions 2408 to 2925 of the family's 2925-position model. Lineage: Bacteria; Pseudomonadati; Pseudomonadota; Gammaproteobacteria; Enterobacterales; Enterobacteriaceae. The record is from RNAcentral.